Molecule: long non-coding RNA, 697 nt
Organism: Carya illinoinensis
Lineage: Eukaryota; Viridiplantae; Streptophyta; Magnoliopsida; Fagales; Juglandaceae
Exons: 2
Source: RefSeq, a predicted model, not a curated record
AAUUCUAUCUUUUGACUAGUAUAUCAAUCUUUAGCUAAAGAGCUCCACAUUGAACUAGUCAUUUAAAAUUUAUAUAAUAAUAUUAUAUUAUAUAUUUUAAUAGAUCCUUGCGGAAGGAAGUUUUUCUCACACCAAACCAUAGUCAUUCAUUUAUUGAGAAAACUAGCCGUCCAUGGUCCAAAAUCCAUUGGCUCUCAACAAAAUAUAUAAUAUAUAUUAUAUUAAUAAGCACUUGCAGGUGGUGUCCCUUUCUCUUUCUUAAACUCUAGCUUUUAGAUAGAGGCGAUCUUCGAGUUUCAUCCAUGGCUUCAAAGCAGAUCUGGGUUGGAGCUCAAAGAUCUCCAGAUGAAAGAUCCUCCUCCUAACUCUUGCAGUACUGGCUUGAUCUGUGGCUUGAUUUGUGAUGUUUCUAGUUUUUGAAGAUCUGGGUUAUGAUCCGUGAUGGUGUUUGGGGAUGAAGAAAGAAAAAAUACCAGAGAAAGAGAGACGGGCUAUUAGACGAAAAAUGAUAAAAUAGUCUUUUGAUCCCUCUACAGGAGCUCGCCAACAAUGGCCAGGAAACUAAUUUACUGUAAUACAAAGUUAAAAUAGCGUGAAUUUAGCUAGUCUGAUGUGGAAGUUUUUUUUGAUAAUAUAGUCAAAUUAUAGACUUGCAUUGGCAUUUGGCUAAUCCAUUGCCAAGUACUCUUAGAUCUCU